CCUACGGGCGGCUGCAGUGAGGAAUAUUGGUCAAUGGGAGAGAUCCUGAACCAGCCAAGCCGCGUGAGGGAAGACGGCCCUAUGGGUUGUAAACCUCUUUUGUCGGAGAACAAAACCCGGGACGAGUCCCUGACUGCGUGUAUCCGAAGAAAAAGCAUCGGCUAACUCCGUGCCAGCAGCCGCGGUAAUACGGAGGAUGCGAGCGUUAUCCGGAUUUAUUGGGUUUAAAGGGUGCGUAGGCGGUCUGUUAAGUCAGCGGUAAAAUUGCGGGGCUCAACCCCGUCGAGCCGUUGAAACUGGCAGACUUGAGUUGGCGAGAAGUACGCGGAAUGCGCGGUGUAGCGGUGAAAUGCGUAGAUAUCGCGCAGAACUCCGAUUGCGAAGGCAGCAUACCGGCGCCAGACUGACGCUGAGGCACGAAAGCGUGGGGAUCGAACAGGAUUAGAUACCCCAGUAGUC
This 459-nucleotide ribosomal RNA is filed under the name uncultured bacterium. RNAcentral's name for it is "partial 16S ribosomal RNA". It matches the Rfam family "Bacterial small subunit ribosomal RNA", at positions 338 to 795 of the family's 1533-position model. The record is from RNAcentral.